AUGGCGAAGAGUGUGUGGUCUCUUGUGGAUGAGGAGCUGGUGGAACAUAUGAUAGCCUGUAAUCACACUGAUGCAAAGCUCUGGCUUAUGGAGCUUCAAGAUUCAAUGGGACAAGAAAUUUUUGUGAAGCUCAUUGUGACCCUUUGCUCCAUAUGGUGGGUGCGUAGGAAGGUUGUCCACGAAGAACAAUAUAGUUUCGUUUACCCCUCAAAAAGAAAAAGCUCUCGUGGCCCGUUUCCUCGAGCGCCGCCCAUCAAACGCAUCCAGAUUCUUGAGGCUGGGCCAAGUCCAAUCUGCAUAGAGGCCCAAAAAGAAGCAUAUAGAGGACAUAGCCAACCACGUCGACCCACAAGCUGCCGGCGACGAAAUCCCAAACUCGAUCCCGCGACCUACCGGCCGGCGACUCCCGCCGGCGCCCUUGGUACGAUGGCCGAAGACGAUGUUGACUGGACACAAAUCUUUGACAGGGUCAAAGGAUCCAUCUUCUCCAUCCGGUUCGUUCCGAAGCAAGACAAUCUUGAACAACUCCAAGUCUUGGCUGAUGGGGUGAAGACAGUUAAAGAUGAAGAGUUGCGGCGGAACAAGCUCAGGAAAGGACAUGCUUCAACUGGUUUCGUCUACUACUCUAGACCAACCGGCCUGCUAAUCAUGACUAGUGCACACGGUUUGAACCAUCUUUUCGACGCUUCUCGACCUUUGACACUAGAGACACUGGGCAUGAUGGAUAUAACUGUUCUAUGCGAUCAUCAAGAAGAAGUUAUUCAGGAAGCCAGAUUGGUUAAUGCUGUCAGGAAAUAUGCCACUGCAAGGGCAGAGGGGGUUAAUUCAAAUAAAGACACAAUUGUUCUCAGUGUUGACAGCAUCAACCUCAAGAAUUACUCGGAUGAUGGCGUAUGCGUCCAAGCACACCCUCCCAUUGACAUCUCUCCCAACACGCCAAUAGUUGGGAGGCAGUGCAUGAUGGUCUCUUGGCCGUCCAAUAUGCCCAGAAUGGUUUCCAUGGGUGAAAUUGUUUCUUCUAGGGGGAUUGGCAUGCAGAAUCCUUUUGGGUACAACAUGACCGUAUUGGAAGUCGAUAUGAGAACCGAGGAGAGUUCGUCCGGCGCGCCGCUUUUCAAUUCAAAUGUUUGGGCUUCUAUAUCCCCCGUCGAGACCAAGGCAAAAUCAUCAUGUCACCAUCAGCAAGGGGGCGCCGCGAGUGGCGGCGGCAGCGAAUCCAAUCUAGAUCUGCUGGUUUCAGGAGUCAACACUGAAGCAGGUGGGCACAACAACACUCAGCGACCGCCGUAUGCUCCUCGUCACUUCUUCCUUAGCCAGGACCACCAGGUUGGCCGCCCCCCUUUUCCACCUUCACGCCACCUCAAGCAUCACCACUGCCACCUCUUUGUCCAACACGGACCUUCCCUAGCUAUACAUGUACUUGGGCUGGCUCUUGGAUAUCACAUGGGCUGGGCCUGGCCGGGCACCAUCAGACUGCUAGGAGCUACAAAUAGCUGGAGGGGAAGCAACGACAGACCCAUCCAGUGGAUCACGGCACGAACCGGCGGCGGCUUCUUCCCCUUCCUCCUUCUUCCCCAAUUCUUGUAUCCAGAGACUCUCCGCCGCCUCCCCUUUCUUCUCCCCUCCUCCUCGCCGCCGCCUGAGGCCGCCCCCGGGCAAGCCUGGGGUGUCACCGAGGAAGGUGGCGGCGGGGCCCUGGCGCCCCUGCCUCUGCUGCGGGGGGACGUGUUCCCUAGGGCGGCGGCCCUGGUCGGAGAGGCGUCACCGGCCCGGCGGCAGGCGAUGGCGCGGGCGUGGGCCGGCGAUCCUGGCCGUGUGGAUGGCGGGUGCCCCGGUGGACGGGAGCCCUGGCAGCAGCUGCUGUGGCUCGCGGGUGGUGGAGGCGGGGAUUCGAAGACCGGGAGAAAUUCCAGGCCGGCCUCGUCGGUCUUGGCGGCGGCGACGCUCGUGGCGCCGUUCCCCUCCCUGGAGGCGCUGUUCAGGUCAGAUCCGACGCCCCCCAUCCCUCUAGUCUCCCGGGUGAAAACCUCAACUCUGUUGGGUGGCGGCGGCGCCCUCGGCGUCGCGUCCUUCCUGAAGGCGCCGUUUUUGGGAGCUAGGUGGGCAGUGGGCUUCUCGGCGAUGUGGUGGGUGUGCAGCGGCGGCAGUAGCUGGUCUUCUUUGUCGGCGGCGAGUUCUUCAGUGGCUCAACGCCUACAGGGACACUAUGCUACUGCUCCUCCGUCCGUUCCGUUCUGGCAGCUCUUUCUCAUCCGUGUCCAGUCCGGUGAACUGCUACACUGUCAACGGUUCGGCGCCUUCGAGCCAGGCGAGGAGACAGGGGUCUUCUUUGACAGUGGAGCUGGGAGGACAUGGCAAUCCGGGGCCGCUGGUGAUUUGGCGACGGCGUGCCCUUCCUCGCCAUCCGUAAUGCUGCUCCUGUUCUGA
RNAcentral lists this ribosomal RNA (2427 nucleotides) under Triticum aestivum (bread wheat). RNAcentral's name for it is "partial small subunit ribosomal RNA". The record is from RNAcentral. Lineage: Eukaryota; Viridiplantae; Streptophyta; Magnoliopsida; Poales; Poaceae.